GUUGCACUCGCGGGCGGCCAGCGCCGUUCCCACGUUGCUGCGGCCGCGGAGGGCAGCGCCGCCCGCCCAGGUGCAAAACACUGGGUGACUUCGGUGUGGAUUUGUUUUUAACCCCUGGAUUUGAUUCUGAUGAGGAUUCAGUGGAAGAUGCUCCAGAUUCUGGGGAAGAUGAGGGUAGAAAGCCGCCUUCAAAGCUUGACAGCAGAAAAACCCAGGGUGUAAUUUGAGACCAGCGAAAAGGAAAACUAUCAGUCCAUUUGCAACCGGCGGUGCGUCCUACGGAUCUCCCGGCUAGAGUACGUCCGCUGUUGUCACCUUCAUCCGCUGCCCAUAUUUCCGGUGCCGGGUUCUGAGUGCGAUGCAUCCGAACGAAGUCAGGCGACCUCUGACUUACCCCUUGGCCCAAGUCAUCACUGGCUGCGCUGAGGGGCGAAAGGGCUGUGCCUGGAGGCCGGGGCCAAAAACCGCUGUCUUGGGCGUAGCUGCAACAGCUGGCACAAGGAGGAGAGGACGUGGAUGGAGACUUGGACUUCGAUGGGGACUGAUGGACGGGCUGGGGGGGGGGAUGAUCAGACAGCUGUUUCCCCAUGGGGGUGCCGAGGAGGGGGCUG
This is a long non-coding RNA of Candoia aspera, 611 nucleotides long. RefSeq lists it as uncharacterized. Lineage: Eukaryota; Metazoa; Chordata; Lepidosauria; Squamata; Candoiidae. The transcript is spliced from 4 exons. The record is from RefSeq and is a predicted model, not a curated record.